UGGCGGAUGUCGGCACGUAGAAUUUGUUUUGGGAUAUAACAUCACGGAUUAUCGUAGCAUUUGGACUACGUGAAAGCUAUUUGGUUCACUUAAAUUCAGCACUUUACUGUUAUUGUUGUUUUACCCACCUAGUUAAUUCGUUUUCACGAGAAACCGGGAGAUGCAUCGUCGCGGAGCGGCAAAGAAGGACCACAACAACAAACCAGUGAAGAAGAAGGACGUUAGUGACAGUGAUAAAUACGCCGACCUCUUGGUGUUCGGCUAUGCCUGCAAACUGUUUCCAGACGACGAAAGGGCUCUUUACCACGAACAUGGAAAACAUCUUAUUCCAUGGAUGGGGGACAAGAACAUCAUGAUUGAUAGGUCGGUUGAAUAAACUUAGACCGAAACAUUAUGCUAACCAUCUAUGCUGUCCGUUAGCCUGUUUCACAAUUCAAGGGACCUCUUGGAGUUUGCCUUGCAGAAGCUGGAAAUACCUGCAACUGGCGACUAAUGUUUUACUUCCUGCUUGCUACUUUGUUAUAGGAUGUCAUGAACUGAUACAAAUGAUAUCUGAAGUCACUACAAUAACAUGUGAAGAUGCAAAUCCCUGCCAUACUUGGCUAAAAUUAGCUGUGAUGCUGAACUAAUAAUACACAACCAGUUGCCCAAUGUAUUAGUCACACCAGCUAAAACUAAUGCAGUUUAAUAUAAAAUGCAGUUUAAUAUAAAAUGUAUACAAACAAGGCUUAGCUACCAGUACAGUCUGAACAUAAAGAUAACAUUGUACACUUAAUAAAGUUUCUGCAGAGCUAUUUACUUGCAUUAGUUUGGGCUGUGUAGCUCCUAAACCAGCAAUAGUGUGUAUUUUUGAUACAAAAACAGAGAUCUUUAAAUCUCAUAACCCAAAGAGACACAAUUGUUAGCUUUCAGCAGGACUUUGCAUUUUGACAUGUUUGGGAGAAUUUCCUUUGGAAACUUUAACUUCAGGCAUACAUGAUAUGUAUCAAUAUGGAGUAUAAAACAAAGGAUGUUACUUUUUGUUCUGUCCUUUUUUAAAUUGAGUUUUGCAGAAAAUGCCUAUCUGUACACAAAACACACAACCUGGGUCUUUAUUAUGCGUUGCUUAUAUCCUCAAGGCCAGAGCAAAUUCUAACCAAGACUAAAGUUGCAGCAGUUAAGGUGAUUCAAAAUAUCACAAUGCCUAUGUGAAACAUUGGGGUUUAACUAUCCAACAAAAGGUUUAAAAGUGCUUACAGCCUACCAAGUGUUGCUUCAGGCAAUGUACCAAUGUUUUAUUGCCACCUCCAUGCAGCACAAGUAUUACAUUAGUGCAUUUAUUCUUUGAAUCACCUCGAUCUGCAGUGGCCCAACUUGUGUUUCAUUUGUACAGCCUUUGUAUGUGUGUCUUUAUCACAUAACCCAGUUUUUUCCCCAGCAAGCUAAGCUAAGGGGUCCUGCCAAACCCCGAAAGCCAACUUCAGCACCCCAUUUCUUUGUCUUCAUGAAGAAACUGCAACUGAGAAGUGGCGUAGAGGGACGAACCCUGGAAAAUGUCGUCCAUUUGGGUUCUUACGGAUAGAUACGAUGGGCGUGGUCAUUUACACGACCUUUCAGAGUAUGACAGCGGGUCAUGGAAUACGUCCUACCAGCUGUCGGAGGAGGAGGCC
Notothenia coriiceps (black rockcod) is the source of this 1649-nucleotide RNA transcript. It is a transcript of the gene named splicing factor, suppressor of white-apricot homolog, with no coding region annotated. The record is from RefSeq and is a predicted model, not a curated record. The transcript is spliced from 2 exons. Lineage: Eukaryota; Metazoa; Chordata; Actinopteri; Perciformes; Nototheniidae.